RNAcentral lists this unclassified non-coding RNA (170 nucleotides) under uncultured Oidiodendron. RNAcentral's name for it is "sequence contains ITS1". Lineage: Eukaryota; Fungi; Ascomycota; Leotiomycetes; Myxotrichaceae. The record is from RNAcentral.
CAGAGUUCAUGCCCUCCGGGUAGAUCUCCCACCCCACUGUUAUCAUUACUCUCGUUGCUUUGGCGGGCCGCUGGGCCCUGCCCGGCCGCCGGCUCCGGCUGGCGUGUGCCCGCCAGAGGCUUCACAGACUCUGAAUAUUAGUAUCGUCCGAGUAAACUAUAUAAUCGUUA